AGUAGAGAACGAAAAGGAGCUAUCGAAUAAAUAGCUCUGCUGACGGUACUCUAAGAAUAAGCACCGGCUAACUACGUGCCAGCAGCCGCGGUAAUACGUAGGGUGCGAGCGUUAAUCGGAAUUACUGGGCGUAAAGGGUGUGCAGGCGGCUGAGUAAGACAGAUGUGAAAUCCCCGGGCUUAACCUGGGAACCGCAUAUGUGACUGCUUGGCUAGAGUGCGUCAGAGGGAGGUGGAAUUCCACGUGUAGCAGUGAAAUGCGUAGAUAUGUGGAAGAACACCGAUGGCGAAGGCAGCCUCCUGGGACGCAACUGACGCUCAUACACGAAAGCGUGGGGAGCAAACAGGAUUAGAUACCCUGGUAGUCCACGCCCUAAACGAUGUCAACUAGUUGUUGGGGAUUAA
This 404-nucleotide ribosomal RNA is filed under the name uncultured bacterium. RNAcentral describes it as "bacterial SSU rRNA". It matches the Rfam family "Bacterial small subunit ribosomal RNA", at positions 434 to 833 of the family's 1533-position model. The record is from RNAcentral.